AGUGUACCACCAUCCAAUGCAUGCACCACAGAUGUUCAGCGACGAGAAUCCCAACUCGUGUUCCGUGAUGUGAGCAGAAGAAGAUAAUCGGACGGUGGAGAAUGGACGGGUAAAAUAACCGGCAGUGAUGUAAAUAAGUAACAGGGAGAGAAGUGAAUACAAAAAAAUUACGAAUGAAUUAAGAAUUUUGUUUUAGGUUAGUAGAGUCAUUAAGCUGUACCCGGCCGGCUGAAAAUGCCGGUUCAGUUGGUUUUGUUCUUUAAUCAAUUUAUUAAUGAUAUGAUUAAGAAAACUAAGUAAAAUUUUUCGUAUUUUAAUAAUGAUAAUGAUAUUCAUAUAUAUUAAAAUUUAUCAUAUAUGUUGGAUAUUGACCUGUUUGGUUGGUAGUGAAAUAUACCUUCUCCCAACUGACAAAAAGCCUUGUUCAAGGGUUUUGCUGGUACAGGUUU
Molecule: unclassified non-coding RNA, 449 nt
Filed under: Hevea brasiliensis (rubber tree)
Lineage: Eukaryota; Viridiplantae; Streptophyta; Magnoliopsida; Malpighiales; Euphorbiaceae
Source: RNAcentral